This 1989-nucleotide ribosomal RNA is filed under the name human gut metagenome. RNAcentral describes it as "bacterial LSU rRNA". It matches the Rfam family "Bacterial large subunit ribosomal RNA", at positions 1 to 1985 of the family's 2925-position model. The record is from RNAcentral.
AUAAGAUAUCAAGGGCAACAGGUGAAUGCCUUGGCGCUGAGAGGCGAUGAAAGACGCGGUAAGCUGCGAUAAGCAUCGGGGAGGAGCUAAACAUCCUACGAUCCGAUGAUUUCUGAAUGGGGAAACCCGAUGGGAGUCAUGUCCCAUCAUCCUGAGCUGAAUAUAUAGGCCCAGAGAAGCCAACCCGGGGAAGUGAAACAUCUAAGUACCCGGAGGAAGAGAAAUCAAACGAGACUCCCAAAGUAGCGGCGAGCGAAAUGGGAAGAGCCCAAACCGGGUGGUUUCGACCAUUCGGGGUUGUAGGGCCGGCAUACGCGAUUCUGGAGUAGGCAGAGGAAGUGAGCUGGAAAGCUCCGCCACAGCGGGUGAUAGCCCCGUACUCGAAACCGAAAAGGACGCAGCCGGUACCUGAGUACUGCGAGGCACGUGGAACCUCGUGGGAAUCUAGGGGGACCAUCCUCUAAGGCUAAGUACUCCUCAGCGACCGAUAGUGAACUAGUACCGUGAGGGAAAGGUGAAAAGAACCCCUGUUAGGGGAGUGAAAUAGAAUCUGAAACCUGUUGCCUACAAGCUGCGAGAGCUGCUUUUUGCAGUGAUCGCGUGCCUUUUGUAUAAUGAGUCAGCGAGUUACUCUACCGUGCGAGGUUAAGCGAAAGCGUAGCCGUAGUGAAAGCGAGGCUUAAUAGGCCGACUAGUACGUUGGAGUAGACCCGAAACCGGGUGAUCUAUCCAUGAGCAGGUUGAAGCAAGGGUAAAGCCUUGUGGAGGACCGAACCGUCAACGGCUGAAAACGUUCCGGAUGACUUGUGGAUAGGGGUGAAAGGUCAAUCAAACCCGGAGAUAGCUGGUUCUCCCCGAAAUAUAUUGAGGUAUAGCCUCGGGAAUUGAUUAGCGGAGGUAAAGCACUGACAGAGCUAGGGGUCCUACCAGAUUACCAAACUCUAUCAAACUCAGAAUGCCGCUUAAUUGUAUCCCGGGAGUCAGACGGCGGGUGCGAAGGUUCGUCGUCAAAAGGGAAACAGCCCAGACCAACAGCUAAGGUCUCCAAAUCCAUGCUCAGUGGUGAAGGUAGUGGAACCGUUUAGACAGCCAGGACGUUGGCUUAGAAGCAGCCAUCAUUUAAAGAAAGCGUAAUAGCUCACUGGUCUAAUGGCUCUGCGCCGAAAAUGUAACGGGGCUAAGCAUGGUACCGAAGCUUUGGCAAUCUCCUUUGGAGAUUGGGUAGGGGAGCGUUCGCUGCGGGCUGAAGGUGUGUCGGAAGGCAUGCUGGACUGCAGUGAAGUGAUUAUGCUGACAUGAGUAACGAUAAAAUAUGUGAAAAACAUAUUCGCCGAAAACCCGAGGUUUCCUGGGUAAAGGUAAUCUUCCCAGGGUUAGUCGGAUCCUAAGGUGAGGGUGAAAGCCGUAACCGAUGGAAAACAGGUUAAUAUUCCUGUACUUGUUGUGUAGCGCGAUGGAGGGACGCAGGAAGAUAGGCGGGCCGGGUGUUGGAUAUCCCGGUGCAAGCGUGUAGGAAUAUCCGGUAGGCAAAUCCGCCGGACGAAUCUGAGACGCGAGUCCGUGGGCGCAAGCCCUGAAGCCGUUGAGUCUAUGCUGCCUAGAAAAGCUCCUAAGUUUAUCCACAGCAAUCCGUACCGCAAACCAACUCAGGUGGGUGGGAUGAACAAUCCAAGGCGCUCGAGAGAACUCUGGCCAAGGAACUCGGCAAAAUAACCCCGUAACUUCGGAAGAAGGGGUGCUCUCUAGGGUGACAUGUUUAACAUAUGAAGCCCCGGGGAGCCGCAGUGAAUUGGUGGUGGCGACUGUUUACUAAAAACAUAGGUCUGUGCGAAGUCCUAAAGACGACGUAUACGGACUGACGCCUGCCCGGUGCUGGAAGGUUAAAAGGAGGGGUCAGCGCAAGCAAAGCUCCGAAUUGAAGCCCCAGUAAACGGCGGCCGUAACUAUAACGGUCCUAAGGUAGCGAAAUUCCUUGUCGGGUAAGUUCCG